GGGGAAUAUUGGGCAAUGGACGCAAGUCUGACCCAGCAACGCCCCGUGAAGGAAGAAGGCUUUCGGGUUGUAAACUUCUUUUAAGGGGGAAGAGUAGAAGACGGUACCCCUUGAAUAAGCCACGGCUAACUACGUGCCAGCAGCCGCGGUAAUACGGAGGGUGCAAGCGUUAAUCGGAAUUACUGGGUGUAAAGGGUGCGUAGGCGGCACUGCAAGUCAGGCGUGAAAUAUAUGGGCUUAACCCAUAGACUGCGUUUGAAACUGUGGUGCUUGAGUGAAGUAGAGGUAGGCGGAAUUCCCGGUGUAGCGGUGAAAUGCGUAGAGAUCGGGAGGAACACCAGUGGCGAAGGCGGCUUACUGGGCUUUAACUGACGCUGAGGCACGAAAGCAUGGGUAGCAAACA
RNAcentral lists this ribosomal RNA (403 nucleotides) under uncultured Oscillospiraceae bacterium. RNAcentral describes it as "bacterial SSU rRNA". It matches the Rfam family "Bacterial small subunit ribosomal RNA", at positions 356 to 774 of the family's 1533-position model. Lineage: Bacteria; Bacillati; Bacillota; Clostridia; Eubacteriales; Oscillospiraceae. The record is from RNAcentral.